UAGGGAAUCUUCGGCAAUGGACGGAAGUCUGACCGAGCAACGCCGCGUGAGUGAAGAAGGUUUUCGGAUCGUAAAGCUCUGUUGUAAGAGAAGAACGAGUGUGAGAGUGGAAAGUUCACACUGUGACGGUAUCUUACCAGAAAGGGACGGCUAACUACGUGCCAGCAGCCGCGGUAAUACGUAGGUCCCGAGCGUUAUCCGGAUUUAUUGGGCGUAAAGCGAGCGCAGGCGGUUAGAUAAGUCUGAAGUUAAAGGCUGUGGCUUAACCAUAGUACGCUUUGGAAACUGUUUAACUUGAGUGCAAGAGGGGAGAGUGGAAUUCCAUGUGUAGCGGUGAAAUGCGUAGAUAUAUGGAGGAACACCGGUGGCGAAAGCGGCUCUCUGGCUUGUAACUGACGCUGAGGCUCGAAAGCGUGGGGAGCAAACAGGAUUAGAUACCCUGGUAGUCCGCGCCGUNNNGAUGAGUGCUAGGUGUUGGUCUCAUAAGAGAUCAGUGCUGCAGCUAACGCAUUAAGCACUCCGCCUGGGGAGUACNACCGCAAGGNU
RNAcentral lists this ribosomal RNA (546 nucleotides) under uncultured bacterium. RNAcentral's name for it is "bacterial SSU rRNA". It matches the Rfam family "Bacterial small subunit ribosomal RNA", at positions 355 to 895 of the family's 1533-position model. The record is from RNAcentral.